Molecule: ribosomal RNA, 472 nt
Filed under: uncultured bacterium
Lineage: Bacteria
Description: partial 16S ribosomal RNA
Rfam family: Bacterial small subunit ribosomal RNA
Source: RNAcentral
GACGAACGCUGGCGGCGUGCUUAACACAUGCAAGUCGAGCGGAAAGGCCCUUCGGGGUACUCGAGCGGCGAACGGGUGAGUAACACGUGAGUAAUCUGCCCUUGGCUUUGGGAUAACUACCGGAAACGGUGGCUAAUACCGGAUACGACAACCGUCUGCAUGGGCUGGUUGUGGAAAGUUUUUUCGGCCAGGGAUGUGCUCGCGGCCUAUCAGCUUGUUGGUGGGGUAAUGGCCUACCAAGGCUUCGACGGGUAGCCGGCCUGAGAAGGUGACCGGCCACACUGGGACUGAGACACGGCCCAGACUCCUACGGGAGGCAGCAGUGGGGAAUAUUGGACAAUGGGCGGAAGCCUGAUCCAGCAACGCCGCGUGAGGGAUGACGGCCGUCGGGUUGUAAACCUCUUUCAGUACCGACGAAGCGCCGAUGAUGGUGGUGACGGUAGGUACAGAAGAAGCACCGGCCAACUACGUG